Molecule: ribosomal RNA, 460 nt
Filed under: uncultured bacterium
Lineage: Bacteria
Description: partial 16S ribosomal RNA
Rfam family: Bacterial small subunit ribosomal RNA
Source: RNAcentral
CCUACGGGUGGCAGCAGUGAGGAAUAUUGGUCAAUGGACGAGAGUCUGAACCAGCCAAGUAGCGUGAAGGAUGACUGCCCUAUGGGUUGUAAACUUCUUUUAUAAAGGAAUAAAACGAGGCACGUGUGCCUUCUUGCUUGUACUUUAUGAAUAAGGAUCGGCUAACUCCGUGCCAGCAGCCGCGGUAAUACGGAGGAUCCGAGCGUUAUCCGGAUUUAUUGGGUUUAAAGGGAGCGUAGAUGGGUUGUUAAGUCAGUUGUGAAAGUUUGCGGCUCAACCGUAAAAUUGCAAUUGAUACUGGCAGUCUUGAGUACAGUUGAGGUAAGCGGAAUUCGUGGUGUAGCGGUGGAAUGCUUAGAUAUCACGAAGAACCCCGGUUGCGAAGGCAGCUUACUAAACUGUGACUGACAUUGAUGCUCGAAAGUGUGGGUAUCAAACAGGAUUAGAUACCCUAGUAGUC